Non-coding RNA from Tinamus guttatus (white-throated tinamou), 111 nucleotides. The record is from RefSeq and is a predicted model, not a curated record. Lineage: Eukaryota; Metazoa; Chordata; Aves; Tinamiformes; Tinamidae.
AACAAAAAGAUUGUGAAGUCUGCUAAAACCAGCAUCAGGCUGCCUGUUGUUUUGCUGCAGAGCUAAGAAUGUAUUUGUCAGUGCAGAAAGACACAAACAUAUUGCUGUCUC